AAUUGCAGAGUAUUGCCAUGGAUUAUCUUUGCAGUACACAAAAUUAAUCAAACUGGAACAGAUAUGCAGGUGCUCUUCCAUGAAAUGCAAGGACCAUGAAUCAGCUGAUUACCAUGUAAGCCCUGGGUGAAGGCUAAACUGCAAUUUAAAAAUGUGGGGCUGGAGAGAUUUUCAAGUCCAGACAUGCUGCUACACUCCUCCCC
Gopherus flavomarginatus (Mexican gopher tortoise) is the source of this 203-nucleotide long non-coding RNA. RefSeq lists it as uncharacterized. The transcript has 3 exons. The record is from RefSeq and is a predicted model, not a curated record. Lineage: Eukaryota; Metazoa; Chordata; Testudines; Testudinidae.